This 375-nucleotide ribosomal RNA is filed under the name Escherichia coli. RNAcentral describes it as "bacterial SSU rRNA". Lineage: Bacteria; Pseudomonadati; Pseudomonadota; Gammaproteobacteria; Enterobacterales; Enterobacteriaceae. The record is from RNAcentral.
AAAUUGAAGAGUUUGAUCAUGGCUCAGAUUGAACGCUGGCGGCAGGCCUAACACAUGCAAGUCGAACGGUAACAGAAAGCAGCUUGCUGCUUUGCUGACGAGUGGCGGACGGGUGAGUAAUGUCUGGGAAACUGCCUGAUGGAGGGGGAUAACUACUGGAAACGGUAGCUAAUACCGCAUAACGUCGCAAGACCAAAGAGGGGGACCUUMGGGCCUCUUGCCAUCGGAUGUGCCCAGAUGGGAUUAGCUAGUAGGUGGGGUAAAGGCUCACCUAGGCGACGAUCCCUAGCUGGUCUGAGAGGAUGACCAGCCACACUGGAACUGAGACACGGUCCAGACUCCUACGGGAGGCAGCAGUGGGGAAUAUUGCACAAU